This 465-nucleotide ribosomal RNA is filed under the name Vreelandella stevensii. Its description in RNAcentral is "partial 16S ribosomal RNA". It matches the Rfam family "Bacterial small subunit ribosomal RNA", at positions 338 to 795 of the family's 1533-position model. The record is from RNAcentral. Lineage: Bacteria; Pseudomonadati; Pseudomonadota; Gammaproteobacteria; Oceanospirillales; Halomonadaceae.
CCUACGGGGUGCAGCAGUGGGGAAUAUUGGACAAUGGGUGAAAGCCUGAUCCAGCCAUGCCGCGUGUGUGAAGAAGGCCUUCGGGUUGUAAAGCACUUUCAGUGGGGAAGAAAGCCUUGGGGCUAAUACCCUCGAGGAAGGACAUCACCCACAGAAGAAGCACCGGCUAACUCCGUGCCAGCAGCCGCGGUAAUACGGAGGGUGCGAGCGUUAAUCGGAAUUACUGGGCGUAAAGCGCGCGUAGGCGGUCUGAUAAGCCGGUUGUGAAAGCCCCGGGCUCAACCUGGGAACGGCAUCCGGAACUGUCAGGCUAGAGUGCAGGAGAGGAAGGUAGAAUUCCCGGGGUAGCGGUGAAAUGCGUAGAGAUCGGGAGGAAUACCAGUGGCGAAGGCGGCCUUCUGGACUGACACUGACGCUGAGGUGCGAAAGCGUGGGUAGCAAACAGGAUUAGAUACCCCAGUAGUC